Non-coding RNA from Merluccius polli (Benguela hake), 75 nucleotides. Lineage: Eukaryota; Metazoa; Chordata; Actinopteri; Gadiformes; Merlucciidae. The record is from the annotation of a GenBank genome assembly.
GUUUCUGUAGAGUGUAGUGUUAUCACGUUCGCCCUCACACGCGAAAGGUCCCCCGUUCGAAACCCGGGCGAAACA